CCUACGGGAGGCAGCAGUGAGGAAUAUUGGUCAAUGGCCGGAAGGCUGAACCAGCCAAGCCGCGUGAAGGACGAAGGUGCCAAGCAUUGUAAACUUCUUUUGUCAAGGGACAAAAUCAGGCUCGAGAGCCUGACCGCGGGUACUUGAAGAAAAAGCAUCGGCUAACUCCGUGCCAGCAGCCGCGGUAAUACGGAGGAUGCGAGCGUUAUCCGGAUUUAUUGGGUUUAAAGGGUGCGUAGUAGGGCUGUUAAGUCAGCGGUAAAAGCCCGGGGCUCAACCCAGGCGAGCCGUUUAAACUGGCUGUCUUGAGAUGUCGAGAGGUAUGCGGAAUGCGCAGUGUAGCGGUGAAAUGCUUAGAUAUUGCGCAGAACUCCGAUCGCGAUGGCAGCAUACCGGAGGCGAUCUGACGCUGAGGCACGAAAGCGUGGGUAUCGAACAGGAUUAGAUACCCCUGUAGUC
This 459-nucleotide ribosomal RNA is filed under the name uncultured bacterium. Its description in RNAcentral is "partial 16S ribosomal RNA". It matches the Rfam family "Bacterial small subunit ribosomal RNA", at positions 338 to 795 of the family's 1533-position model. The record is from RNAcentral.